AAGUCGUAACAAGGUUUCCGUAGGUGAACCUGCGGAAGGAUCAUUAGCUUAAGAGAGGUCGGGUGCGCGACGUGUGCGAAAGCAUGCGUGCGCCCCGAUAUACUCUACACCGUGUGAACGUGGAAUGCGUAUCCUGCUGUUGUGUUGGUGCUCGUGCGGCGGCGCGAGUCGUCGUCGGGCAUCAGCAUGCAGCACUAAACCUUUGUAACAACCAUGCUAACACUCGAAAAACAAUUUAAUCUAUACACAACUUUUAACAAUGGAUCUCUAGGCUCCU
RNAcentral lists this unclassified non-coding RNA (277 nucleotides) under fungal sp. RNAcentral describes it as "partial internal transcribed spacer region". The stretch from base 1 to 46 matches the Rfam family "Eukaryotic small subunit ribosomal RNA", at positions 1786 to 1831 of the family's 1831-position model. The record is from RNAcentral. Lineage: Eukaryota; Fungi.